RNAcentral lists this ribosomal RNA (497 nucleotides) under uncultured bacterium. RNAcentral's name for it is "partial 16S ribosomal RNA". It matches the Rfam family "Bacterial small subunit ribosomal RNA", at positions 28 to 507 of the family's 1533-position model. The record is from RNAcentral.
GAUGAACGCUGGCGGCGUGCCUAAUACAUGCAAGUCGAGCGAACAGAUGAGGAGCUUGCUCCUCUGACGUUAGCGGCGGACGGGUGAGUAACACGUGGAUAACCUACCUAUAAGACUGGGAUCACUUCGGGAAACCGGAGCUAAUACCGGAUAAUAUAUUGAACCGCAUGGUUCAUUAGUGAAAGACGGUUUUGCUGUCACUUAUAGAUGGAUCCGCGCCGCAUUAGCUAGUUGGUAAGGUAACGGCUUACCAAGGCAACGAUGCGUAGCCGACCUGAGAGGGUGAUCGGCCACACUGGAACUGAGACACGGUCCAGACUCCUACGGGAGGCAGCAGUAGGGAAUCUUCCGCAAUGGGCGAAAGCCUGACGGAGCAACGCCGCGUGAGUGAUGAAGGUCUUCGGAUCGUAAAACUCUGUUAUUAGGGAAGAACAAAUGUGUAAGUAACUAUGCACGUCUUGACGGUACCUAAUCAGAAAGCCACGGCUAACUACGUG